RNAcentral lists this ribosomal RNA (530 nucleotides) under uncultured bacterium. Its description in RNAcentral is "partial 16S ribosomal RNA". It matches the Rfam family "Bacterial small subunit ribosomal RNA", at positions 28 to 523 of the family's 1533-position model. The record is from RNAcentral.
GACGAACGCUGGCGGCGUGCCUAAUACAUGCAAGUCGAACGAACUCUGGUAAUGAUUGGUGCUUGCAUCAUGAAUUACAUUUGAGUGAGUGGCGAACUGGUGAGUAACACGUGGGAAACCUGCCCAGAAGCGGGGGAUAACACCUGGAAACAGAUGCUAAUACCGCAUAACAACUUGGACCGCAUGGUCCGAGUUUGAAAGAUGGCUUCGGCUAUCACUUUUGGAUGGUCCCGAGGCGUAUUAGCUAGAUGGUGAGGUAACGGCUCACCAUGGCAAUGAUACGUAGCCGACCUGGGAGGGUAAUCGGCCACAUUGGGACUGAGACACGGCCCAAACUCCUACGGGAGGCAGCAGUAGGGAAUCUUCCACAAUGGACGAAAGUCUGAUGGAGCAACGCCGCGUGAGUGAAGAAGGGUUUCGGCUCGUAAAACUCUGUUGUUAAAGAAGAACAUAUCUGAGAGUAACUGUUCAGGUAUUGACGGUAUUUAACCAGAAAGCCACGGCUAACUACGUGCCAGCAGCCGCCGUAA